This is a non-coding RNA of Brassica napus (rape), 102 nucleotides long. Lineage: Eukaryota; Viridiplantae; Streptophyta; Magnoliopsida; Brassicales; Brassicaceae. The record is from Rfam.
GGUCAAGCGAGAUAUUAGUGCGGUUCAAUCAAAUAGUCUCACUCUUAGUUGAUAGAGAUUGAUUUUGUUCGAUUGAGCCGUGCCAAUAUCACGCAUAUAACC